Molecule: transfer RNA, 73 nt
Filed under: Rattus norvegicus (Norway rat)
Lineage: Eukaryota; Metazoa; Chordata; Mammalia; Rodentia; Muridae
Rfam family: tRNA
About the family: Transfer RNA (tRNA) molecules are approximately 80 nucleotides in length. Their secondary structure includes four short double-helical elements and three loops (D, anti-codon, and T loops). Further hydrogen bonds mediate the characteristic L-shaped molecular structure. tRNAs have two regions of fundamental functional importance: the anti-codon, which is responsible for specific mRNA codon recognition, and the 3' end, to which the tRNAs corresponding amino acid is attached (by aminoacyl-tRNA synthetases). tRNAs cope with the degeneracy of the genetic code in two manners: having more than one tRNA (with a specific anti-codon) for a particular amino acid; and 'wobble' base-pairing, i.e. permitting non-standard base-pairing at the 3rd anti-codon position.
Source: Rfam by way of RNAcentral
GGGAGUGUAGCUCAGCUGGCAGAGUCCUUGCCUGGGGUGCAAGAGGUCCUGGGUUCAAUUCCCAGAACCACUG